CAGACAUGCUGUUUAGGCCCUGCUGGUACCUGGAGUUGCUGCAAGUUUUCACGUGGACACUGUUGUAGGGAUGGCUAUCACUGUUGUGCAAGUGGCUUCAUCUGUGACAGCACUUCUCACAAGUGCCUGAAUGGUUAUCUGAGCGUGGCUGCAUCUCCCCAACUGCCAGCCACCAGAACUGAUGGCAUUUAAAAAAUCAGAGAGAGACGUUCCUGCCCCUGUACCCUGAAAUGUGAUUCUACCUCUAUGAGCUGUGUGAGGGGAGACACCAACAUCCUUUCAUCUACCAUGAGGGAGAUACAGCUACUGUG
This is a long non-coding RNA of Sardina pilchardus (European sardine), 311 nucleotides long. RefSeq lists it as uncharacterized. Lineage: Eukaryota; Metazoa; Chordata; Actinopteri; Clupeiformes; Clupeidae. The transcript is spliced from 3 exons. The record is from RefSeq and is a predicted model, not a curated record.